GACGAACGCUGGCGGCGUGCCUAAUACAUGCAAGUAGAACGCUGAAGGAGGAGCUUGCUUCUCCGGAUGAGUUGCGAACGGGUGAGUAACGCGUAGGUAGCCUGCCUGGUAGCGGGGGAUAACUAUUGGAAACGAUAGCUAAUACCGCAUAAGAGUAGAUGUCGCAUGACAUUUGCUUAAAAGGUGCAACUGCACCACUACCAGAUGGACCUGCGUUGUAUUAGCUAGUUGGUGAGGUAACGGCUCACCAAGGCAACGAUACAUAGCCGACCUGAGAGGGGGAUCGGCCACACUGGGACUGAGACACGGCCCAGACUCCUACGGGAGGCAGCAGUAGGGAAUCUUCGGCAAUGGACGGAAGUCUGACCGAGCAACGCCGCGUGAGUGAAGAAGGUUUUCGGAUCGUAAAGCUCUGUUGUAAGAGAAGAACGAGUGUGAGAGUGGAAAGUUCACACUGUGACGGUAUCUUACCAGAAAGGGACGGCUAACUACGUG
Molecule: ribosomal RNA, 495 nt
Filed under: uncultured bacterium
Lineage: Bacteria
Description: partial 16S ribosomal RNA
Rfam family: Bacterial small subunit ribosomal RNA
Source: RNAcentral